AGAGCGGGAGCCCGGAGAUGGGCACUGAGACAAGGGCCCAGGCCCUACGGGGCGCAGCAGUUGCGAAAACUCCGCAAUGCGCGAAAGCGUGACGGGGCUACCCCGAGUGCCGCCCGUUGAGGACGGCUUUUCCACGGUGUAAGGAGCCGUGGGAAUAAGGAGAGGGCAAGCCUGGUGUCAGCCGCCGCGGUAAUACCAGCUCUCCGAGUGGUGGGGACGAUUAUUGGGCUUAAAGCGUUCGUAGCCGGCUCAACAAGUCUCUCGUUAAAUCCAACGAUCCAAUCGUUGGUCUGCGGGAGAUACUGUUGGGCUAGGAGGCGGGAGAAGCCGACGGUAUUCUCGGGGUAGGGGUGAAAUCCUGUAAUCCCGGGAGGACCACCAGUGGCGAAGGCGGUCGGCU
This 400-nucleotide ribosomal RNA is filed under the name uncultured archaeon. RNAcentral describes it as "bacterial SSU rRNA". It matches the Rfam family "Archaeal small subunit ribosomal RNA", at positions 279 to 681 of the family's 1478-position model. The record is from RNAcentral.